Molecule: ribosomal RNA, 254 nt
Filed under: uncultured bacterium
Lineage: Bacteria
Description: partial 16S ribosomal RNA
Rfam family: Bacterial small subunit ribosomal RNA
Source: RNAcentral
UACGUAGGGGGCAAGCGUUACCCGGAUUUACUGGGCGUAAAGCGCGUGUAGGCGGCUGGCCAAGUGUGGUGUGAAAUCCCCCGGCUCAACCGGGGAACUGCAUUGCAAACUGGUCUGGCUAGAGUGCAGGAGAGGGAAGUGGAAUUCCUGGUGUAGCGGUGAAAUGCGCAGAUAUCAGGAGGAACACCGGUGGCGAAGGCGGGUCUCUGGGCCGAUAUUGACGCUGAGGAGCGAAAGCGUGGGGAGCAAACAGG